GCAUGGCUGUCGUCAGCUCGUGUCGUGAGAUGUUGGGUUAAGUCCCGCAACGAGCGCAACCCUCACUUUUAGUUGCCAUCGUUUAGUUGGGCACUCUGAAAGAACUGCCAGUGAUAAGCUGGAGGAAGGUGGGGAUGACGUCAAGUCCUCAUGGCCCUUACGUGUUGGGCUACACACGUGCUACAAUGGCAUUUACAACAGGAAGCAAAACGGCGACGUUAAGCAAAUCCUAAAAAAAUGCCUCAGUUCGGAUUGUACUCUGCAACUCGAGUACAUGAAGCUGGAAUUACUAGUAAUCGCGGAUCAGCGCGCCGCGGUGAAUACGUUCCCGGGUCUUGUACACACGCAUC
RNAcentral lists this ribosomal RNA (350 nucleotides) under uncultured bacterium. RNAcentral's name for it is "bacterial SSU rRNA". It matches the Rfam family "Bacterial small subunit ribosomal RNA", at positions 1043 to 1395 of the family's 1533-position model. The record is from RNAcentral.